Molecule: small RNA, 24 nt
Filed under: Arabidopsis thaliana (thale cress)
Lineage: Eukaryota; Viridiplantae; Streptophyta; Magnoliopsida; Brassicales; Brassicaceae
Source: RNAcentral
GUAAGAACGACGAUUUUUGAGCCU